CUCACAUUCCCCAUCAUACAUUAUUUCCUCUGGGGCAAAGGCUUUCGCUUUAUGCCAAUUAGAGCCUUUACCCUGCUGGAGAGGUAACUAAGCACAGGAGGAGCUGUAAUGCAAAGAUAUUACUUUCCCAAACCCUGGCCCCACAUUGGCUUACCCAAAUCCUCCGGCGCUGGCUGCAGCUGUACCCUCGCCGAACACUUUGCCUCCCGUCGAGCCCAGAGGGCUUGAAAAGGUUGGGGCUGAACCGAAUGCUGGCACCCCUCCAAACCCAGGGGAUCCCCCAAAAGUGGGAGGGCUGCCAAACACUGGAGCAGCACCGAAGCCACCUGCUUUGGUUGGACUAGAGAACCCAAAGCCUU
This 359-nucleotide long non-coding RNA is filed under the name Gallus gallus (chicken). Lineage: Eukaryota; Metazoa; Chordata; Aves; Galliformes; Phasianidae. The record is from RNAcentral.